GAUGAACGCUGGCGGCGUGCCUAACACAUGCAAGUCGAGCGAUUUUCUUCGGAAGAGAGCGGCGGACGGGUGAGUAACGCGUGGGUAACCUGCCUCAUACACAUGGAUAACAUACCGAAAGGUAUGCUAAUACAAGAUGAUAUAAGAGAUUCGCAUGGAUUUCUUAUCAAAGCUCCGGCGGUAUGAGAUGGACCCGCGUCUGAUUAGCUAGUUGGUAAGGUAACGGCUUACCAAGGCGACGAUCAGUAGCCGACCUGAGAGGGUGAUCGGCCACAUUGGAACUGAGACACGGUCCAAACUCCUACGGGAGGCAGCAGUGGGGAAUAUUGCACAAUGGGCGAAAGCCUGAUGCAGCAACGCCGCGUGAGCGAUGAAGGCCUUCGGGUCGUAAAGCUCUGUCCUCAAGGAAGAUAAUGACGGUACUUGAGGAGGAAGCCCCGGCUAACUACGUGCCAGCAGCCGCGGUAAUACGUAGGGGGCUAGCGUUAUCCGGAUUUACUGGGCGUAAAGGGUGCGUAGGUGGUUUCUUAAGUCAGGAGUGAAAGGCUACGGCUCAACCGUAGUAAGCUCUUGAAACUGGGAAACUUGAGUGCAGGAGAGGAAAGUGGAAUUCCUAGUGUAGCGGUGAAAUGCGUAGAUAUUAGGA
Molecule: ribosomal RNA, 646 nt
Filed under: uncultured Clostridium sp.
Lineage: Bacteria; Bacillati; Bacillota; Clostridia; Eubacteriales; Clostridiaceae
Description: bacterial SSU rRNA
Rfam family: Bacterial small subunit ribosomal RNA
Source: RNAcentral